UGCUUUAAAAGGCAAAGCCACCGAGAGGUGGUGACGCAAAACCUCCGGUCCAACUGGGAUGCUAUAUAAAUUUCCAGCGGAUAGCGGGGCUGCAGGC
This is a non-coding RNA of 97 nucleotides. It matches the Rfam family "c-di-GMP-I riboswitch aptamer". From Rfam's summary of the family: GEMM was predicted in a large-scale screen for bacterial structured RNA regulatory elements. Genes associated with GEMM are involved in a diverse array of functions, including chemotaxis regulation, signal transduction, secretion and chitin.